UACGGGGGGAGCAAGCGUUGUUCGGAUUUACUGGGCGUAAAGGGCGCGUAGGCGGCGUGACAAGUCACUUGUGAAAUCUCCGGGCUUAACUCGGAACGGUCAAGUGAUACUGUCGUGCUAGAGUACAGAAGGGGCAACUGGAAUCCUGGUGUAGCGGUGAAAUGCGCAGAUAUCAGGAGGAACACCGGUGGCGAAGGCGGGUCUCUGGGCCGAUACUGACGCUGAGGAGCGAAAGCGUGGGGAGCGAACAGG
This 252-nucleotide ribosomal RNA is filed under the name uncultured bacterium. RNAcentral's name for it is "partial 16S ribosomal RNA". It matches the Rfam family "Bacterial small subunit ribosomal RNA", at positions 524 to 776 of the family's 1533-position model. The record is from RNAcentral.